Molecule: ribosomal RNA, 354 nt
Filed under: uncultured soil bacterium
Lineage: Bacteria
Description: bacterial SSU rRNA
Rfam family: Bacterial small subunit ribosomal RNA
Source: RNAcentral
CAGCCGCGGUAAUACGUAGGGCGCGAGCGUUGUCCGGAUUUAUUGGGCGUAAAGAGCUCGUAGGCGGCUUGUUGCGUCGACCGUGAAAACCCGGGGCUCAACUUCGGGCUUGCGGUCGAUACGGGCGGGCUAGAGUUCGGUAGGGGAGACUGGAAUUCCUGGUGUAGCGGUGAAAUGCGCAGAUAUCAGGAGGAACACCGGUGGCGAAGGCGGGUCUCUGGGCCGAUACUGACGCUGAGGAGCGAAAGCGUGGGGAGCGAACAGGAUUAGAUACCCUGGUAGUCCACGCUGUAAACGUUGGGCGCUAGGUGUGGGGGGCCUCUCCGGUUCCCUGUGCCGCAGCUAACGCAUUAA